This 1107-nucleotide ribosomal RNA is filed under the name uncultured bacterium. RNAcentral's name for it is "bacterial SSU rRNA". It matches the Rfam family "Bacterial small subunit ribosomal RNA", at positions 264 to 1387 of the family's 1533-position model. The record is from RNAcentral.
CCCACCAAAGCGACGAUCAGUAGCCGACCUGAGAGGGUGACCGGCCACAUUGGGACUGAGACACGGCCCAAACUCCUACGGGAGGCAGCAGUGGGGAAUAUUGCACAAUGGGCGGAAGCCUGAUGCAGCGACGCCGCGUGAGUGAAGAAGUAUCUCGGUAUGUAAAGCUCUAUCAGCAGGGAAGAAAAUGACGGUACCUGACUAAGAAGCCCCGGCUAACUACGUGCCAGCAGCCGCGGUAAUACGUUGGGGGCAAGCGUUAUCCGGAUUUACUGGGUGUAAAGGGAGCGUAGACGGCGACGCAAGUCUGGAGUGAAAGCCCGGGGCCCAACCCCGGGACUGCUUUGGAAACUGUGCUGCUGGAGUGCAGGAGAGGUAAGUGGAAUUCCUAGUGUAGCGGUGAAAUGCGUAGAUAUUAGGAGGAACACCAGUGGCGAAGGCGGCUUACUGGACUGUAACUGACGUUGAGGCUCGAAAGCGUGGGGAGCAAACAAGAUUAGAUACCCUGGUAGUCCCCCCCGUAAACGAAUGAAAAUAAGGGGUCGGGGGGCAAAGCCCUUCGGGGCCGCCGCUAACGCAAUAAGCAUUCCCCUGGGGGGGUACGUUCGCAAGAAUGAAAUUCAAAGGAAUUGACGGGGACCCGCACAAGCGGUGGAGCAUGUGGUUUAAUUUGAAGCAACGCGAAGAACCUUACCAAGUCUUGACAUCCCCCUGACCGGCGCGUAACGGUGCCCUUCCUUCGGGACAGGGGAGACAGGUGGUGCAUGGUUGUCGUCAGCUCGUGUCGUGAGAUGUUGGGUUAAGUCCCGCAACGAGCGCAACCCUUAUCCUUAGUAGCCAGCACGUCGUGGUGGGCACUCUAGGGAGACUGCCAGGGAUAACCUGGAGGAAGGUGGGGAUGACGUCAAAUCAUCAUGCCCCUUAUGAUUUGGGCUACACACGUGCUACAAUGGCGUAAACAAAGGGAGGCGACCCUGCGAAGGUAAGCAAAUCCCAAAAAUAACGUCCCAGUUCGGACUGUAGUCUGCAACCCGACUACACGAAGCUGGAAUCGCUAGUAAUCGCGGAUCAGAAUGCCGCGGUGAAUACGUUCCCGGGUCUUGCACA